CUCAGACAGUGGCUAAGAAGCUACUAGAAGACAUCUUACCCAGAGGGCUCCAGAAGGUGCACGAGGACAUUUGGCUGCGCCUCCAUGCCAUCUACAAGGCUGGCCCGACCCCGACACCUCAUCACUACAGGCCGGGAGACUGGGUCUACGUCAAGAGGCACCACUGAGAGACACUUGAGCCAUGCUGGAAGGGACCCUACAUUGUGGUGCUGACAACCCCCACCACUCUCAAAGUAGAGGGCAUCGUGACCUGGGUCCAUCACACCCACGUUCGGCCAGUGGACCCCUCCUUGAUCCGGAAGGACUUUGCAACACAAUGGGCCAUCAAUCGGGACCAACACAACCUGCUCAAGGUCGAGUUACAGCGCAUUCGACCCAUCUGAUAUUGGUAACUCUGUUAACUCUGCUUGUCACUGCUCAUGCUGCCGGGAGUCCCCACGCCCC
Long non-coding RNA from Herpailurus yagouaroundi (jaguarundi), 444 nucleotides. RefSeq lists it as uncharacterized. The record is from RefSeq and is a predicted model, not a curated record. Lineage: Eukaryota; Metazoa; Chordata; Mammalia; Carnivora; Felidae. The transcript has 2 exons.